CUUAUACUCCCUCCGUCCGAAAAAGCUUGUCCCUCAAAUGGAUGUAUCUAGCAACAAGUUAGUGCUAGAUACAUCCAUUUGGGAAACAAGCUUGGGACAAGUUUUUUGGGAUGGAUGGAGUAGCUC
Triticum aestivum (bread wheat) is the source of this 126-nucleotide non-coding RNA. The record is from Rfam. NCBI's taxonomy places the organism in Eukaryota, Viridiplantae, Streptophyta, Magnoliopsida, Poales, Poaceae.